RNA transcript from Oncorhynchus masou masou (cherry salmon), 1512 nucleotides. RefSeq lists it as uncharacterized. NCBI's taxonomy places the organism in Eukaryota, Metazoa, Chordata, Actinopteri, Salmoniformes, Salmonidae. The record is from RefSeq and is a predicted model, not a curated record. The transcript is spliced from 2 exons.
UGUUUUAAGUAGAGCAGACAAGAGAGGGGCAGGAGGGGAUUUUAAGGUAGAUAGGUCAAGCGUUUUAUUGCAAGGGCUGUGCAGGGAUUUUAAACUGACUGACUGCUUUAAAACCCUGCAUCCAAGAGAGGAGGGCUUCACCUGGACCAGUGGUGAUGGCACCAGAGCCUGUCGCAUUGAUUAUCUGUUUACCCGGGACUGUCCCCCAACUGAUGCUAGAAUAACCCCUGCUUUCUUCUCAGAUCAUGUAAUGCUGACGUGCACCCUUUCACUAUCCUCGGGUGUGACUGUGGGAAGAGGGCCCUGGAAACUGAACUGCUCCCUUCUAGAAGAUGAUAGAGUAGUUAGUCAGUACAGAGAGCAGUUCAGCCAGUGGCAGACGCUACAGGACUUUUUUGACACACGAGCACAGUGGUGGGAAAUGGUGAAGGGAAGGACGAGGACUUUCUUUAGAGAGAUAGGAAAGGAAAAAAGCAAAGAAAAAGAUAGACGCAUAGUGGGACUGCAAAACCGACUGGAAAGGAUCGGGAACCAGUAUGUCCAGUGCGCGGGCUCGCUAUAGGUGAGCCCACAACGGUUUGGCGCAACGUGGCCCAUCCUGCUCUCCUGAAUCGGCAUCGGGACCUGUCCUGGAUGGUCGCCCACGAGAUCCUCCCGGUCAGGGCCGUUAUGCACUCACGGGGCAUGGCGAGGAUAUCCCCGUGCCCCCGACCAGGCUGCGGCCAAGAAGAGUCGGUGAGGCACAUGCUCUGGGAGUGCAGAGCUGCCAGAGACCUGUGGAAGGAAGCAGGCCCCCUGAUCACCUCGUGUUUGUCAGCAGGGGAGGACCUAACACCUCAGCUCGUGCUGUAUGGGGUGGGCCGAAGGCCCAUUCCAUCGAAGACCUUCACCAAGCUCUGGUCCACCCUCACGUGCCUGAAGGAAGCACUGUGGUCCUCCCGUAACCUGCUGGUAGUGAAAAACAUAGAGACCACCCCCCAGGCAGUGGCCAUGGUAGGUACGGAAGAAAGGGGGCCUCGACCCCAAGCGAAGGGUCCCCCACAACACCCUAGGUCCCGGCGGCCACGGCCUGACAGCGCUGCGGCGCCUAGGGCGAUGCGCCUAGGGGAGGGAUCCCCUCUGGGCCCUGAAGGACGGAACGAUGAUCCAUUCAGAAGAGCAGGAUGAGGUGAGCUUGAUAAAGACUCACCCCGCUCCUGUACAAGGGACUGAAGACAGCCUUUUAACAAAGUGGCUUUUUAACAUGUUUUUCAUGUCUUAAAAAUGUUUUACCUUUGUUAGAUCAUUAGUACACAUUUUAAAUGGCUUUUACAGAUUUGAUGUUUUUACAAGGAAAGUACUUUUAUUCAUAGUUGUUUUCAUUGGUUUUCACAACAUGUACUUUUUAACAAAUUUAAAUGUAACUUUCAAAUGCUGUGUUUUAUGCUUUUUUGCCGUUUUUAUGUGUAUAAAUGAUGUAAAAAAUGUAUGAGCUGUUUUUAAAGGAAUUGUACCAAUAAAACUUUUCCAAAA